This 497-nucleotide ribosomal RNA is filed under the name uncultured bacterium. RNAcentral's name for it is "partial 16S ribosomal RNA". It matches the Rfam family "Bacterial small subunit ribosomal RNA", at positions 28 to 507 of the family's 1533-position model. The record is from RNAcentral.
GAUGAACGCUGGCGGCGUGCCUAAUACAUGCAAGUCGAGCGAACGGACGAGAAGCUUGCUUCUCUGAUGUUAGCGGCGGACGGGUGAGUAACACGUGGAUAACCUACCUAUAAGACUGGGAUAACUUCGGGAAACCGGAGCUAAUACCGGAUAAUAUUUUGAACCGCAUGGUUCAAAAGUGAAAGACGGUCUUGCUGUCGCUUAUAGAUGGAUCCGCGCUGCAUUAGCUAGUUGGUAAGGUAACGGCUUACCAAGGCAACGAUGCAUAGCCGACCUGAGAGGGUGAUCGGCCACACUGGAACUGAGACACGGUCCAGACUCCUACGGGAGGCAGCAGUAGGGAAUCUUCCGCAAUGGGCGAAAGCCUGACGGAGCAACGCCGCGUGAGUGAUGAAGGUCUUCGGAUCGUAAAACUCUGUUAUUAGGGAAGAACAUAUGUGUAAGUAACUGUGCACAUCCUGACGGUACCUAAUCAGAAAGCCACGGCUAACUACGUG